AGCGAACGCUGGCGGCAGGCCUAAUACAUGCAAGUCGAACGGUCUCUUCGGAGGCAGUGGCGGACGGGUGAGUAACGCGUGGGAAUAUGCCCUUUGGUACGGAACAACUGAGGGAAACUUCAGCUAAUACCGUAUGUGCCCUUCGGGGGAAAGAUUUAUCGCCAUUGGAGUAGCCCGCGUUGGAUUAGGUAGUUGGUGGGGUAAAGGCCUACCAAGCCUACGAUCCAUAGCUGGUCUGAGAGGAUGAUCAGCCACACUGGGACUGAGACACGGCCCAGACUCCUACGGGAGGCAGCAGUAGGGAAUCUUGCGCAAUGGGCGAAAGCCUGACGCAG
RNAcentral lists this ribosomal RNA (335 nucleotides) under uncultured bacterium. RNAcentral describes it as "bacterial SSU rRNA". It matches the Rfam family "Bacterial small subunit ribosomal RNA", at positions 29 to 391 of the family's 1533-position model. The record is from RNAcentral.